RNAcentral lists this ribosomal RNA (2544 nucleotides) under human gut metagenome. RNAcentral describes it as "bacterial LSU rRNA". It matches the Rfam family "Bacterial large subunit ribosomal RNA", at positions 1 to 2570 of the family's 2925-position model. The record is from RNAcentral.
UUAAGCGACUAAGCGUACACGGUGGAUGCCCUGGCAGUCAGAGGCGAUGAAGGACGUGCUAAUCUGCGAAAAGCGCCGGCGAGGUGAUAUGAACCUUUGACCCGGCGAUGUCCGAAUGGGGAAACCCAGUGUGUUUCGACACACUAUCGUUAACUGAAUACAUAGGUUAACGAGGCGAACCGGGGGAACUGAAACAUCUAAGUACCCCGAGGAAAAGAAAUCAACCGAGAUUCCCCCAGUAGCGGCGAGCGAACGGGGAGCAGCCCGGAGUCUGAAUCAGUUUGUGUGUUAGUGGAACGGUCUGGAAAGUCCGACGGUACAGGGUGAUAGUCCCGUACACGAAAAUGCACAUGCUGUGAACUCGAAGAGUAGGGCGGGACACGUGGUAUCCUGUCUGAAUAUGGGGGGACCAUCCUCCAAGGCUAAAUACUCCUGACUGACCGAUAGUGAACCAGUACCGUGAGGGAAAGGCGAAAAGAACCCCGGCGAGGGGAGUGAAAAAGAACCUGAAACCGUGUACGUACAAGCAGUGGGAGCCUCUUUAUGGGGUGACUGCGUACCUUUUGUAUAAUGGGUCAGCGACUUAUAUUCUGUAGCAAGGUUAACCGUAUAGGGGAGCCGAAGGGAAACCGAGUCUUAACUGGGCGUUAAGUUGCAGGGUAUAGACCCGAAACCCGGUGAUCUAGCCAUGGGCAGGUUGAAGGUUGGGUAACACUAACUGGAGGACCGAACCGACUAAUGUUGAAAAAUUAGCGGAUGACCUGUGGCUGGGGGUGAAAGGCCAAUCAAACCGGGAGAUAGCUGGUUCUCCCCGAAAGCUAUUUAGGUAGCGCCUCGUGAACUCAUCUUCGGGGGUAGAGCACUGUUUCGGCUAGGGGGCCAUCCCGGCUUACCAACCCGAUGCAAACUACGAAUACCGAAGAAUGUUAUCACGGGAGACACACGGCGGGUGCUAACGUCCGUCGUGAAGAGGGAAACAACCCAGACCGCCAGCUAAGGUCCCAAAGUCAUGGUUAAGUGGGAAACGAUGUGGGAAGGCACAGACAGCCAGGAUGUUGGCUUAGAAGCAGCCAUCAUUUAAAGAAAGCGUAAUAGCUCACUGGUCGAGUCGGCCUGCGCGGAAGAUGUAACGGGGCUAAACCAUGCACCGAAGCUGCGGCAGCGACGCUUAUGCGUUGUUGGGUAGGGGAGCGUUCUGUAAGCCGUUGAAGGUGUGCUGUGAGGCAUGCUGGAGGUAUCAGAAGUGCGAAUGCUGACAUAAGUAACGAUAAAGCGGGUGAAAAGCCCGCUCGCCGGAAGACCAAGGGUUCCUGUCCAACGUUAAUCGGGGCAGGGUGAGUCGACCCCUAAGGCGAGGCCGAAAGGCGUAGUCGAUGGGAAACAGGUUAAUAUUCCUGUACUUGGUGUUACUGCGAAGGGGGGACGGAGAAGGCUAUGUCAGCCGGGCGACGGUUGUCCCGGUUUAAGCAUGUAGGCGGAGGUUCCAGGUAAAUCCGGUACCUUGUUAACGCUGAGGUGUGAUGACGAGGCACUACGGUGCUGAAGUGAUAAAUGCCCUGCUUCCAGGAAAAGCCUCUAAGCAUCAGGUAACACGAAAUCGUACCCCAAACCGACACAGGUGGUCAGGUAGAGAAUACCAAGGCGCUUGAGAGAACUCGGGUGAAGGAACUAGGCAAAAUGGUGCCGUAACUUCGGGAGAAGGCACGCUGAUAUGUAGGUGAAGCCCCUGCGGGCGGAGCUGAAAUCAGUCGAAGAUACCAGCUGGCUGCAACUGUUUAUUAAAAACACAGCACUGUGCAAACACGAAAGUGGACGUAUACGGUGUGACGCCUGCCCGGUGCCGGAAGGUUAAUUGAUGGGGUUAGCGGCAACGCGAAGCUCUUGAUCGAAGCCCCGGUAAACGGCGGCCGUAACUAUAACGGUCCUAAGGUAGCGAAAUUCCUUGUCGGGUAAGUUCCGACCUGCACGAAUGGCGUAAUGAUGGCCAGGCUGUCUCCACCCGAGACUCAGUGAAAUUGAACUCGCUGUGAAGAUGCAGUGUACCCGCGGCAAGACGGAAAGACCCCGUGAACCUUUACUAUAGCUUGACACUGAACACUGGUCCUUGAUGUGUAGGAUAGGUGGGAGGCUUUGAAGCGUGGACGCCAGUCUGCGUGGAGCCGCCCUUGAAAUACCACCCUUUAAUGGCUGGUGUUCUAACGUAGACCCGUAAUCCGGGUUGCGGACAGUGUCUGGUGGGUAGUUUGACUGGGGCGGUCUCCUCCCAAAGAGUAACGGAGGAGCACGAAGGUUGGCUAAUCCUGGUCGGACAUCAGGAGGUUAGUGCAAUGGCAUAAGCCAGCUUGACUGCGAGCGUGACGGCGCGAGCAGGUGCGAAAGCAGGUCAUAGUGAUCCGGUGGUUCUGAAUGGAAGGGCCAUCGCUCAACGGAUAAAAGGUACUCCGGGGAUAACAGGCUGAUACCGCCCAAGAGUUCAUAUCGACGGCGGUGUUUGGCACCUCGAUGUCGGCUCAUCACAUCCUGGGGCUGAAGUAGGUCCCAAGG